UGUCCAGGGGCGGGAAUCGAACCCACAACCUUCCGCUUACCGGGCAGAUGCCAUGUCCACUAGGCUACGCUGGAC
Cordylochernes scorpioides is the source of this 75-nucleotide non-coding RNA. The record is from the annotation of a GenBank genome assembly. NCBI's taxonomy places the organism in Eukaryota, Metazoa, Arthropoda, Arachnida, Pseudoscorpiones, Chernetidae.